This 555-nucleotide unclassified non-coding RNA is filed under the name Bombus terrestris (buff-tailed bumblebee). Its description in RNAcentral is "misc RNA ENSBTSG00005032686.1". The record is from RNAcentral. Lineage: Eukaryota; Metazoa; Arthropoda; Insecta; Hymenoptera; Apidae.
UUUAUUAAUGCGGUUUUGUUAUUUAUUUGUUAAUUAUUUGUGACUUUAUUUUAGUAGUUGACGUAUAAUUGAAGUGGGAAUAAUAUUAUUCUGUAUUUAUUUUAGUGUGUAUAAUUAUUGCAUGUAGUUCAUUGCGCAUGCGUGAGAACUGCUUCACGCUCGUGACGGAUUUCCAAAAUGUAUGUUUGUGUACGUCUUAAAUAAGAGUGUGGUGUUUUCUGGCAGUCAUAUUCUAUGUUCUAUGGAGUGGAUCCAUAAUUUAUCUCUGCGGAAUUCCUGCAUGUACACUUCCUUCUACGAUGAUUAAUUGUGGACUAGGUUUCCACUAUCUGCACUAUUCGACAAGCAGUGUCGCACUUACUUUGAUGGCUGUCAUACGUUAUGUUUUACGAAUAUGGGCUUAUGGCCUGUCUUUGCAUAUACACUUCCUUUUACAAUAGUUAAUUGUUCACAAGGCACUUUUCACUUUCACCGUUUUAAUCACUUUAUUGAAUUAAUACAUUUUAUAUUUGAGUAAUGUCUAGAAAGUACAUAGUAAUUUCCUUUUCUUUUUAG